Molecule: ribosomal RNA, 855 nt
Filed under: uncultured organism
Description: bacterial SSU rRNA
Rfam family: Bacterial small subunit ribosomal RNA
Source: RNAcentral
UCAGGAUGAACGCUAGCGGCGCGCUUAACGCAUGCAAGUCGAGCGAUGAGGCUCCCUUCGGGGAGUACAUCAGCGGCAGACGGGUGAGUAACACGUAGAUUACCUGCCCUCAAGACGGGGACAACCGGUGGAAACAGCGGCUAACACCCGAUAUGCUCACAGGAUCGGGAGGUCGAGUGAGGAAAGCGCCCCUUCGGGGGAGAGUGUUUGAGGAGGGAUCUGCGGCCCAUCAGCUAGUUGGUGAGGUAACGGCUCACCAAGGCGAAGACGGGUAGGGGGUGUGAGAGCAUGGCCCCCCACAAUGGGACUGAGACACGGCCCAUACUCCUACGGGAGGCAGCAGCGGGGAAUAUUGCGCAAUGGACGGAAGUCAGACGCAGCGACGCCGCGUGGGUGAGGAAGGCCUUCGGGUUGUAAAGCCCUUUUCAGGGGAGCGAGAAAGGACGGUACCCUUGGAAUAAGCGUCGGCUAACUACGUGCCAGCAGCCGCGGUAAGACGUAGGACGCAAGCGUUAUCCGGAUUUACUGGGCGUAAAGCGCCUGUAGGCGGUCAAGUAAGUCGGAUGUGAAAGCCCCGUGCUCAACGCGGGGAAGCCAUUCGAUACUGCGUGACUAGAGAACGGCAGAGGGAAACGGAAUUUCUGGUGUAGCGGUAAAAUGCGCAGAGAUCAGAAAGAACACCGAUGGCGAAGGCAGUUUCCUAGGCCGCAUCUGACGCUGAGAGGCGAAAGCUAGGGGAGCAAACAGGAUUAGAGACCCUGGUAGUCCUAGCUGUAAACGAUGGAUGCUAGGUGUGGGCCGGAAAGGUCCGUGCCGUAGUUAACGCGAUAAGCAUCCCGNCUGGGGAGUACGGCC